RNAcentral lists this ribosomal RNA (253 nucleotides) under uncultured bacterium. RNAcentral's name for it is "partial 16S ribosomal RNA". It matches the Rfam family "Bacterial small subunit ribosomal RNA", at positions 524 to 776 of the family's 1533-position model. The record is from RNAcentral.
UACAGAGGGUGCAAGCGUUAAUCGGAUUUACUGGGCGUAAAGCGCGCGUAGGUGGCCAAUUAAGUCAAAUGUGAAAUCCCCGAGCUUAACUUGGGAAUUGCAUUCGAUACUGGUUGGCUAGAGUAUGGGAGAGGAUGGUAGAAUACCAGGUGUAGCGGUGAAAUGCGUAGAGAUCUGGAGGAAUACCGAUGGCGAAGGCAGCCAUCUGGCCUAAUACUGACACUGAGGUGCGAAAGCAUGGGGAGCAAACAGG